AUGGCGCUCGCCUCCACCACCGCCUCCCGCCUCAUCAGCCGACGCCUCGUCGCUCCCCUCCCGCCUCCUCCUUCCUCUUCCUGCGCCGCGCCGCGAGGAGGAGCCAGGCCAGGGCCGCGCCGGUUCGCGGUGCGCUGGGAGGGCAGGCCGAGAGCGCUGUUGGGAGGAUUCUCGGACGCCGACGAAGAUGUCAGCGACGACGAGGACGAGGAGGACGGCCCCGGCGCGCUCAGCGGUGGGCCGCCGCGGCAGCAGCAGGGGUGCGAGGACGUCAUCGAGCUCGCCGCCGCUGCCUUCUCCGGGCCCGAGCGCUGGGACGUGCUCGGACUCGGCCAGGCCAUGGUUGACUUCUCAGGCAUGGUGGAUGAUAAAUUCCUCGAGCGACUGGGCAUAGAGAAGGGUACUAGAAAGGUCGUUAACCAUGAGGAGAGGGGACGGGUCUUGCGUGCCAUGGAUGGCUGCACCUACAAGGCCGCUGCUGGAGGCUCACUGUCCAACUCGCUCGUGGCUCUAGCAAGGCUUGGUAGUAGUCGGGCCAGCAGCUACCCUGAGCUUAGAAUAGCAAUGGCUGGCAGUGUGGGCAGUGACCCACUUGGUAGUUUCUAUAGGCAAAAGUUGCAUCGUGCGAAUGUGCAAUUCUUGUCCAAGCCGGUCAAAGAUGGGACUACUGGGACUGUGAUUGUUCUAACAACUCCAGAUGCACAGCGAACUAUGCUUGCAUACCAGGGUACAUCUUCAACUUUGGCUUAUGAUUCAGACUUGGCAGAGAUAGUAUCCAAGUCAAAUCUACUGAUAGUGGAAGGGUACCUAUUCGAAUUUAGUCAUACAAUUGAAGCCAUCAAGCAGGCAUGUGAAGAUGCUAAGAAGAAUGGUGCACUUAUUGCUGUUUCGGCAUCAGAUGUGUCAUGCAUCAAGCGUUGCCACAGUGAUUUUUGGGAUAUUGUAGGAAACUAUGCGGACAUAUUGUUCGCCAAUGCCAACGAAGCAAGGGCGUUCUGCGAGCUAACUUCAGAAGAGAGCACGGUGUCAGCUGCGAGAUACUUGAGCCAUUCUAUUCCUCUAGUAUCCGUUACCGAUGGUAUGCACGGUUCCUACAUCGGUGUGAAAGGUGAAGCAAUAUACAUCCCUCCACCGGCAUGUAUACCUGUGGACACCUGCGGAGCUGGUGAUGCAUACGCAUCAGGAAUCCUGUACGGUAUCCUCCGGGGUGCGUCAGACUUGAAGGGCAUUGGCCUGCUGGCUGCCCAGGUAGCUGCUGUUGUCGUCGGGCAGCAAGGCACACGCCUGAGGGUUAAGGAUGCUGACAGAUUGGCUGAAUCGUUCGAGUUCCACCUUGACAACUUGGAGUUCUGUUCAGAUGCUGGAACGGACCAGGUUCCCAACUUAUGA
This 1389-nucleotide ribosomal RNA is filed under the name Triticum aestivum (bread wheat). RNAcentral describes it as "partial small subunit ribosomal RNA". Lineage: Eukaryota; Viridiplantae; Streptophyta; Magnoliopsida; Poales; Poaceae. The record is from RNAcentral.